CGCAGUAUCAGGCUUGUCGCCCACACCGCCAUUCAAUUCUACGACAUGCAGGACCGGCUUGGAUACGACCAGCCUAGCAAGGUCGUCGAUUGGCCGCGCAGGACACGCAGAACGUGAGCCUCAAUUUCUCGUUGGUGGAGGCUCCGAGUCCUUUGUUUACUAAUCGGCGAGGUACAAUGGUGGGUAGCAGCGGAGUGGCGAAGCUGGUGAAUAAGAACAGCUCGAAUUUUCUGCAGGUGAGGAUGGUGUUGAGGCCGAAGUUGUUAAUCUUUGUCUGCCUAAAAUUGCCUCUGAUCGAAGUUGGGCUAGAGGCCGAAGUUGUCGGCUAAACCGAUGAAGUUGCAGGUGAGGAUGGUGUGGAGG
This 363-nucleotide long non-coding RNA is filed under the name Rosa chinensis. RNAcentral's name for it is "sRNA RchiOBHm_Chr4g0433001". The record is from RNAcentral. Lineage: Eukaryota; Viridiplantae; Streptophyta; Magnoliopsida; Rosales; Rosaceae.